CCACGCCGUAAACGAUGUCGACUUGGAGGUUGUGCCCUUGAGGCGUGGCUUCCGGAGCUAACGCGUUAAGUCGACCGCCUGGGGAGUACGGCCGCAAGGUUAAAACUCAAAUGAAUUGACGGGGGCCCGCACAAGCGGUGGAGCAUGUGGUUUAAUUCGAAGCAACGCGAAGAACCUUACCUGAUCUUGACAUCCUUCUGACCGGACAGUAAUGUGUCCUUUCCUUCGGGACAGAAGUGACAGGUGGUGCAUGGUUGU
This 258-nucleotide ribosomal RNA is filed under the name uncultured bacterium. RNAcentral's name for it is "partial 16S ribosomal RNA". It matches the Rfam family "Bacterial small subunit ribosomal RNA", at positions 795 to 1052 of the family's 1533-position model. The record is from RNAcentral.